RNAcentral lists this ribosomal RNA (439 nucleotides) under uncultured bacterium. RNAcentral's name for it is "bacterial SSU rRNA". It matches the Rfam family "Bacterial small subunit ribosomal RNA", at positions 335 to 769 of the family's 1533-position model. The record is from RNAcentral.
ACUCCUACGGGAGGCAGCAGUGGGGAAUAUUGCACAAUGGGCGCAAGCCUGAUGCAGCCAUGCCGCGUGUGUGAAGAAGGCCUUCGGGUUGUAAAGCACUUUCAGUCGUGAGGAAGGUAGUGUAGUUAAUAGCUGCAUUAUUUGUACGUUAGCGACAGAAGAAGCACCGGCUAACUCCGUGCCAGCAGCCGCGGUAAUACGGAGGGUGCGAGCGUUAAUCGGAAUUACUGGGCGUAAAGCGCAUGCAGGUGGUUGUUAAGUCAGAUGUGAAAGCCCGGGGCUCAACCUCGGAAUAGCAUUUGAAACUGGCAGACUAGAGUACUGUAGAGGGGGUAGAAUUUCAGGUGUAGCGGUGAAAUGCGUAGAGAUCUGAAGGAAUACCGGUGGCGAAGGCGGCCCCUGGACAGAUACUGACACUCAGAUGCGAAAGCGUGGGAGC